UUGACGGGGGCCCGCACAAGCGGAGGAACAUGUGGUUUAAUUCGAUGAUACGCGAGGAACCUUACCCGGGCUUGAAAUGCAUCUGACCGGCCUUGAAAGAGGCAAUCCCUUCGGGGCAGAUGUGUAGGUGCUGCAUGGUUGUCGUCAGCUCGUGCCGUGAGGUGUCGGCUUAAGUGCCAUAACGAGCGCAACCCUCAUCAUUAGUUACCAUCAGGUCAAGCUGGGGACUCUAAUGAGACUGCCAUCGUAAGAUGCGAGGAAGGUGGGGAUGACGUCAAAUCAGCACGGCCCUUACGUCCGGGGCGACACACGUGUUACAAUGGGUGGUACAAAGGGCAGCUACCUGGCGACAGGAUGCUAAUCUCCAAAACCGCUCUCAGUUCGGAUCGGAGUCUGCAACUCGACUCCGUGAAGCUGGAUUCGCUAGUAAUCGCGCAUCAGCCACGGCGCGGUGAAUACGUUCCCGGGCCUU
This 472-nucleotide ribosomal RNA is filed under the name uncultured Proteiniphilum sp. RNAcentral's name for it is "bacterial SSU rRNA". It matches the Rfam family "Bacterial small subunit ribosomal RNA", at positions 910 to 1382 of the family's 1533-position model. The record is from RNAcentral. Lineage: Bacteria; Pseudomonadati; Bacteroidota; Bacteroidia; Bacteroidales; Dysgonomonadaceae.